UACGGAGGGUGCAAGCGUUGUCCGGAAUUAUUGGGCGUAAAGAGCUCGUAGGCGGUUUGUUGCGUCGGCCGUGAAAACCUGCAGCUUAACUGUGGGCCUGCGGCCGAUACGGGCAGACUUGAGUUCGGUAGGGGAGACUGGAAUUCCUGGUGUAGCGGUGAAAUGCGCAGAUAUCAGGAGGAACACCGGUGGCGAAGGCGGGUCUCUGGGCCGAUACUGACGCUGAGGAGCGAAAGCGUGGGGAGCGAACAGG
RNAcentral lists this ribosomal RNA (253 nucleotides) under uncultured bacterium. RNAcentral describes it as "partial 16S ribosomal RNA". It matches the Rfam family "Bacterial small subunit ribosomal RNA", at positions 524 to 776 of the family's 1533-position model. The record is from RNAcentral.